RNAcentral lists this unclassified non-coding RNA (602 nucleotides) under Hevea brasiliensis (rubber tree). The record is from RNAcentral. Lineage: Eukaryota; Viridiplantae; Streptophyta; Magnoliopsida; Malpighiales; Euphorbiaceae.
AUUUUGUGGCAUCUCGUUUACCCGGAAAAAUUGAUUCAUGUAUGAAGACAAUAACGACCGUGAGUUGGACUUGUCCCCCUGAUGACGUGUUUAAAUUAAAUACUGAUGGUUCUCUUCCAAAUUCGGGUGGUAUAGCUUGUGGCGGAGGGCUUAUUCGAGACUCGAAUGGCCGAUGGAUUAAGGGGUUCAAGGCUGUGUUUGGGAAGACUUCAGUUUUGGGAGUUGAAUUAUGGUCUAUCCUUGAAGGUAUGAAACUUGCCAAAAGUCUUGGGCUGAAAGAUAUAAAUGCUGAGAGUGAUAAUCUUAUUGCUGUGCAAAUUCUUGCAGGAGUUCUUCAGCCUCCAGGUGUUGUUUUAUCAGUUAUUUCUGCAAUUCAAUUCCUUUUAACUCCUGAUUGGAAGGUUACUUUCUCUCAUGUGUUGCGUGAGGCAAAUUACGCUGCAGAUUCGUUAGCAGGGCAUCUUCAUACUCAUGAUUUUGGUGUUGAAGUGUUGGAUACUCCUCCUGCAGAUUUGGUUCCAUGGCUUAUGCAUGAUCUUGUGGGUGUUGCUUACUUUAGAUCUGUUUAAUUGUUUGUAUUAAUCUCUUUUGUAACAAAAAAA